AACGGGGGGAGCAAGCGUUGUUCGGAUUUACUGGGCGUAAAGCGUGCGCAGGCGGUUUUGUAAGCCAGAUGUGAAAGCCCCGGGCUCAACCUGGGAAUGGCAUUUGGGACUGCAAGGCUGGAGUUUGGCAGAGGAGACUGGAAUUCCUGGUGUAGCAGUGAAAUGCGUAGAUAUCAGGAGGAAUACCGAUGGCGAAGGCAGGUCUCUGGGCUAUAACUGACGCUCAUGCACGAAAGCGUGGGGAGCAAACAGG
Molecule: ribosomal RNA, 253 nt
Filed under: uncultured bacterium
Lineage: Bacteria
Description: partial 16S ribosomal RNA
Rfam family: Bacterial small subunit ribosomal RNA
Source: RNAcentral